AGAGUUUGAUCCUGGCUCAGGAUGAACGCUGGCGGCGUGCUUAAUACAUGCAAGUCGAACGGAGACAGUAGCAAUAUUGUCUUAGUGGCGAACGGGUGAGUAACGCGUUGGUGGCCUGCCCCGAAGAGGGGGAUAACAGUCCGAAAGGAUUGCUAAUACCCCAUGUAGUCAUAUGGAUUAGAUGCCUAAUGACUAAACGGAUUUAUUCGCUUCGGGAGGGGCCUGCGUCCCAUCAGCUAGUUGGUAAGGUAAUGGCUUACCAAGGCUAUGACGGGUAGGGGACCUGAGAGGGUGGCCCCCCACAAUGGAACUGAAACACGGUCCAUACACCUACGGGUGGCAGCAGUAGGGAAUAUUGGUAAUCUGGGAAACCGGGAACCAGCAACGCCGCGUGCACGAUGAAGGCCUUCGGGUCGUAAAGUGCUUUUUGAAGGGAUGAGGAAGGACAGUACCUUCAGAAUAAGCCUCGGCUAACUACGUGCCAGCAGCCGCGGUAAAACGUAGGAGGCGAGCGUUAUCCGGAUUUACUGGGCGUAAAGCGUGUGUAGGCGGUUUGAUAAGUUGGAUGUGAAAGCUCCCGGCUCAACUGGGAGAGGUCGUUCAAAACUAUCAGACUAGAGAGUGGUAGAGGGAGGUGGAAUUCCGCGUGUAGUGGUGAAAUGCGUAGAUAUGCGGAGGAACACCAGUGGCGAAAGCGGCCUCCUGGCCCAUUUCUGACGCUCAGACACGAAAGCUAAGGUAGCAAACGGGAUUAGAGACCCCGGUAGUCUUAGCUGUAAACGAUGUGAACUUAGUGUCGGUGGGGUUAAAUCCAUCGGUACUGAAGCUAACGCGAUAAGUUCACCGCCUGAGGACUACGGGCCGCAAGGUUAAAACUCAAAGGAAUUG
RNAcentral lists this ribosomal RNA (888 nucleotides) under uncultured bacterium. Its description in RNAcentral is "bacterial SSU rRNA". It matches the Rfam family "Bacterial small subunit ribosomal RNA", at positions 8 to 912 of the family's 1533-position model. The record is from RNAcentral.